CUGAGAGACUCUAUUCUAUUCAUCCACCCAAAGGAGGAAUUCAUACUCAAAUAUCCCUGACAAAUGACCCAUUGACAAUUCUGAGACUUUCCUGGCUCAGCAAUCUACAGAUCAUUCAUCAGCAUGUAAAUGUCUUCCCAGCAGUAACCUUGGCAUUCCCAGAACAACAUACUCUCCUUCUUAUCCCUGGUCCAUCAGGGCCAUUUAAAAAAUUGCAAACUCUAGACUUAAAGUAUUCAGCACAUAGGAGAGACUCAAUCUGGUACUUGGUAUAGUCCCUGCUUGCAAGAUAAAUAAAUGAAAGAAUCAAAGAAUACACACGCAUUACCAAAAUCACAGAGAAGAAAGAAUCAAGACAAGUGCUAUCCAAACUUCUGCGUUCAGAGAAACCUUGAAUCAGGGAAUAUCUAUAAAUAGAAACUGGGAGAGUAGUGUUCCACAAAACUCACUUUGAGAAACGCUAGGCUAGAUGAAGUUACAACAGAGAAGUAGUAACUGGUUUUGACUAUUCUUCAAGUCUUCUCUCAAACACUCUGCACCAAAGAAGCCAGCCCACAUUUCUCAUUUGUUUGUGUAUCUGUAAAAUGUUGAACUUCUAUUAAAACUGUCAUCAAAAUA
Molecule: long non-coding RNA, 618 nt
Filed under: Equus caballus (horse)
Lineage: Eukaryota; Metazoa; Chordata; Mammalia; Perissodactyla; Equidae
Description: lncRNA (ENSECAG00000044560.1)
Source: RNAcentral